This is a long non-coding RNA of Brassica napus (rape), 4175 nucleotides long. RefSeq lists it as uncharacterized. The record is from RefSeq and is a predicted model, not a curated record. The transcript has 2 exons. Lineage: Eukaryota; Viridiplantae; Streptophyta; Magnoliopsida; Brassicales; Brassicaceae.
UUGUCUCAUCACUUUCUGAGGUAGAGUUCAUGUCGAUUCAAUGAUUUCUACAUCUGGUGUAGCCAAUUUGAAUGCUCUAUUGAUUUGCAUCAUUAUGGGAUAUUGCAGCUGUGGAUCCAGACUGCUACUGAAAGCAACUCCUAGUGAAAUGAUGAAUCUACAGCUAGUUAAAAUGAAUUUAUUUCUCUUAAUAGCUAAGCUUUUCAUCAAUAAAUCCAUUAGAGUACCUUUGUGCUUGCUUCAAGAAUAGAUUUAACUUCACAAAUUUUGAAUAUAACAUCACUCAUUCAGUGGCAGACUGGAGUGAGAGUGGAGAAAGAUGAGAGCAGCUUAGAAGAAGAUGCUGGACUUUUGGGUUUGCAUUGUCAUGGAAAAUAUUAGGGGAUUCAAUAAAAUGCAGGAGAUAGUUGAUUAAAGUGUUGAGCUUUGCUCUUCACUCUUGACAAAAAACAGUGCCAAUCUCAAAAGGCUUAAGAAGAUCAGAUCAGAUCAAGUCAUUUGUUUCUUUUAUAAUCUUUUGUCUAAAAAGAAACUCAAAUUUAGCUCUUUCUCAUUGGCUGAUUGAUAUGCUUGCUAUAAUUUUAACUAUUAUAUUUCAUCUGUAUUUAUUAUUUUUUUAAGUUCAUCACAUAUAUUUAAAAAUAAAUACAUAUUUUUGUUUAUAUUAUAAAUUAUUUUAAUAGUUUAUUAAUUUUGUCACUUAUAUUUUUAAACUUGAUACUUGCCAAUAAAACGCAUUAAUAAGCCGACAAAAAACGCAUUAAUAAAAAUUAAUUAAAAACAAGGUUGAAUUUGCUCAAUAUUUAUAAGAGCUCAAAAAAUUAAAAAUAUAACCAUUGAACAGUGACAUCCAAGAGAUGUCACAAUCUGGCCCAAACCUUGACAUUUUUCUCCUCUUACUCGUGUCUGCGUGAGUAUAUGCGCAUCACAUGUGUAACCAACAAAACUAAGUAUAUUAUACUAUAAACCAUAUAAUAUAGUCUAAGUACUAAUACAAACAAACAUGGUAAAGAAGAGACACAGGUAGAAACGUGAACAAAACACCACAUCAGCAAUACUAUUCUAGACUAUACAAUGUAUAGGUGAGUGGAAACAGAAACUCACCCGAGCAUUUACCAAAUUUCUUAUGCUACCAAUUAUAAUAGAAUAAAACAAAAAUACAAUUUUGUUUAUCUUUUUAGAUAAUUUUUGUAACUGAUAGCGGUAAAAAUAAAAAUAUUAAUAAGAGUAACGGAUGAAGGAAUGUUGUUGUUGCUAUGUAAAGUAAAGGAGAAAAAUAGAUGGUAGGAGAAAAGAACAUACACUAGAGGUGGAAGAGAUAUGACGAGUGGUGACCAUGGCGGAAGAGAAAAUGACGGCGGCGAUGAAACAAUCAGUAGUAGCGAUGGUGACAAUGAUAUGCUCGAGGGGAAUGAAGAAAAAAAAAUGACGGAGUUAGAUAUAAUCUGUAUAAUUAACAUGACACUAUACUGUUAUAUUAAAUAAAUAGUCACUACAAGAAAACACGCCUAUUGCGAGGGAAAUUUGCGAGAGAAAAUGUUCCAUGCAAAUUUGCGACAGUUUUGCAACGGAAUUGCAAAAAAAAUUAAACUCUCGCAAAUCUCUCGCAAAUUUGCGAGAGACUUGCGAGGGGAUAUAUUCUUUCGCAAAUUUGCGAGAGAUUUUGCAAGGGAAGUUACAGAGUCCUCGCAAAUUCCUUGCAAAUUUGCGAGAAAAAAUUUCUCUAGCAAAUUUGCAAGAGAUUUGCAAGAAUUUUGUCUGAGUAUCUUGUUUCUUCACAAUUCCCUCGCAAAUUUGCAAUGGAUUUGCAAAGAAGAUGCAUGAUAUGUACAUUUUGACAUUUCUAUCACAAAAUCGAAUAAAAUUAAUAAAUAAAAAAAUUAAUUAAAAUAUUUAGUGUUUAACAAGUACAUCAAUAUAUUCGCUGGAUAAAUAUUUCCCAACACCUGAACUAAUAUUACUAAGUACUAAACAUCAAAACUCUAUAAUUUAUACAAUAAAUACACAUCAACUAAAUUUCUAAAAAAAUUGAAACAAAUUUUCACGUUAAUUAUAUUUUCAAACAAUAAAUAAAAAAUACAUAUAAAUUCAACAAAAAUAUUCCAACCCCCAAACAAAACCCUAAAAUGAUUGACUUAUGAAUUUGCAAGGAAUUUGCAAAGGAUCCCUCGCAAUUCUCUUGCAAAUUUGCGAGAGUACCUAAGCACUCGCAAAUUAGCAAGGGAUUUGCAAUGGAUUCCUCACAAAUCCAAUGCAAAGUUGCGAGAGAUUCAAUUUCCCUUGCAAAUUUGCAAGGGAUUUGCAAGAGACUCGUUGCAAUUUCCUUGCAAAUCCAUUUUUCCAAACUUAAAUGGUUUGGGUUUCAUCAAGGAUUUUGGUGUAGAAUAACACAUUUUAUUGAAUCAUUUAGUGUUUAAAAUAUUAGUCAAAAAACAUUUUCAGAAAUUUAAUUAACCAUAGUUAUGAACUUAAGUCCCAACACUUAAUUUGUUAUUGCAAGUAAGUAACAUCAAACCCUUGUAACGUAUAUAACUCAUAUACGUCAACUAAAUUUCCGGAAAAUGUUAAGCAUACUUUCACAUUAAUUAUUUGUUUUGAAUCAAAUCACUAACUAGUAAAUACAUUUAGUCUACCGAAAACAUAAGAAAACCUCAAACGAAACCCUAAAAUACACUCUUUAUGAAUUUGCAGUGGAUUUGCAAGGGAAUCCUUGCAAUUCCAAUUCCCUUGCAAAUCGCAAAUUUGUGAGAGAAUUGUGAGGAAUCCAUUGCAUUUCCCUUGCAAAUUCAUUUUUUCCAACUCAAAAUGAAAAUUCAAAACUAGUGAUGAUUUAAACUCUAAUACAAUCAACUUUAUAAUGUUUGAAAACUUAAACUCUUAAUCUUAAAUAAAAACUUAUAAACUAAAUGUUUGAUUAAAACUUAAUCUCAAACUAUAUAUCUAUUUCCAAACUUUAACCAUAAACCCUAAAACACAUUUAUCCCAAACACCAUAUCUCAAAUUUAAUCACCAAAAUCCAAACACCAACUUUAAUCUUUUAAAAUUUAAACACCAAAACUUUAACAUAACUAAUAAUCAAGAAAAUUCAAAUAAUAUCCUAAAAUUUUACUUUAAACCCCAAACCUAAUACUCCAAAUAAUAUUUAAUCAUAAACAUUAACCUUUUAUUUAAAAUUUUAAUAUAUUAAUAUAACCUUAAAUCUUAAGGUUGAACUCAAAUUUUCAUAUUUUAAAAUUUUAAUUUCAUAUCUUAAAUCCAAACCAUAAACUCCAAAUAUAAACCAUACCCAAAUCAUAUAUCCUAAACUCAAAUUAAAAAAUAAAAUCUUGUCACUUUUGUUAAUGUGAUAUAUCAUUAACAUUAUAAAAUUUAUAACUUUAUAAAAUUUAUAACUGUUAUAUAAAUAAAAUUAGUUAAACAAUAAAAUUACAAUUUCUAAAACUAUUAUUAAACAAAAACACAGUUUGUAGUUCGAUAAUCUCUGACCAUUGAUAACUUUUGAUCCAAUGGCCUUAAAUCAAUCUUUUGUUAAUCCUUGUCACUCUUUCUCAUUGGUUCACAUUGUAAAAGGUGGAUCACUCAUUAUUAAUCUCAGUCGUUGAUAAGUGUCAAUCUAAAGAAAUGAAUUAAUGUAUUUGAUUUAAUAUUUUCUUUAUCUUUUUCUUCCUUCUCGUCCCUGUCGAGACUUCAUGCUUCCUCUUCUCCUCUCUCAUCGUCUCUUCUAUUUCUCUUCUUCUCAUCUCCUCAAUGAAAAAAAGACAGAGCAAGCAUCAACAAUCGUUGUGGUGAUGUGAUGAGUCGGCAGUGGUGGCGUGACGAAUCAGUGGUCGCCGGUGGCGAGCAUGGAGGAGCGGUGGCGGAACGUGGAUGACGAGGCAGAAAAGCUUAAUGGCGGAGGAAGCAGAAAAGCUUCACGGUGGAGGCAGACGCGGACGAGACAAGGCGUGGUCACGUAGGGUUGGUGGUGUUAAACAGAGAUGUCGCUGGAGUACUGGUGGCGUUUGCCGGAGACGUCAAAGGAGGCGGAGGCGGAGGCGUGAGUAGUUAGGGCUUUAGGUUUAGGUGUGAACUGUAUAAUUUUUUUAUUAGGUUAAUUGUUUAAAACUACUUUAAUUUGUAAUACAAAUUCAAUUAUUUUGUAAAUAAAAAUUAAUAAAUUAUAUAUUUUAAUUGCA